CAAUUUGGGCCAUGUAUAAAGAGCUCAUGUAUCUCUACCAGCUGAGCGACAAUCAAAGAUAGGCAAAGGUCACAGGGCCACCAGCGCAUGUGGUCAUGUCGAACAGUCCACUAUCAUCAUCUUCAUUCCAACACAGCGUGUUCCAUUAAGCAGAAUAUGCAGCCCUUCACGUCGGGGAGCGAGCGGGGCAUGGGUUCAGUUCGUCUGCAUUCAGAGCAUACAGUUGCCGCAGCCCGCAAGGUUCAUUUUAAAGCAAGGAGAGCUAGGCAACACUGAAGAAACAGAAAAUUAAUUUACGGGCGAGGAGGGUGUCAGAUUUAAACCUGCAUCUCCCAAACAAGCCCCACAGCUUCACAUGCGUGAAGACGGUUUGAUUGACACGUCCAGACUGGUGCAAAGGUGUGUG
Misgurnus anguillicaudatus (oriental weatherfish) is the source of this 406-nucleotide non-coding RNA. The record is from RefSeq and is a predicted model, not a curated record. NCBI's taxonomy places the organism in Eukaryota, Metazoa, Chordata, Actinopteri, Cypriniformes, Cobitidae.